UUGGGCACUGUCUCAACCAGAGACUCGGUGAAAUUAUAGUACCUGUGAAGAUGCAGGUUACCCGCGACAGGACGGAAAGACCCCGUGGAGCUUUACUGUAGCCUGAUAUUGAAUUUUGGUACAGUUUGUACAGGAUAGGCGGGAGCCUUUGAAACCGGAGCGCUAGCUUCGGUGGAGGCGCUGGUGGGAUACCGCCCUGACUGUAUUGAAAUUCUAACCUACGGGUCUUAUCGACCCGGGAGACAGUGUCAGGUGGGCAGUUUGACUGGGGCGGUCGCCUCCUAAAGUGUAACGGAGGCGCCCAAAGGUUCCCUCAGAAUGGUUGGAAAUCAUUCGUAGAGUGCAAAGGCAUAAGGGAGCUUGACUGCGAGACCUACAAGUCGAGCAGGGACGAAAGUCGGGCUUAGUGAUCCGGUGGUUCCGCAUGGAAGGGCCAUCGCUCAACGGAUAAAAGCUACCCCGGGGAUAACAGGCUUAUCUCCCCCAAGAGUCCACAUCGACGGGGAGGUUUGGCACCUCGAUGUCGGCUCAUCGCAUCCUGGGGCUGUAGUCGGUCCCAAGGGUUGGGCUGUUCGCCCAUUAAAGCGGUACGCGAGCUGGGUUCAGAACGUCGUGAGACAGUUCGGUCCCUAUCCGUCGUGGGCGUAGGAAUUUUGAGAGGAGCUGUCCUUAGUACGAGAGGACCGGGAUGGACGCACCGCUGGUGUACCAGUUGUUCUGCCAAGGGCAUAGCUGGGUAGCUAUGUGCGGAAGGGAUAAGUGCUGAAAGCAUCUAAGCAUGAAGCCCCCCUCAAGAUGAGAUUUCCCAUAGCGUAAGCUAGUAAGAUCCCUGAAAGAUGAUCAGGUUGAUAGGUUCGAGGUGGAAGCAUGGUGACAUGUGGAGCUGACGAAUACUAAUAGAUCGAGGACUUAACCAU
RNAcentral lists this ribosomal RNA (917 nucleotides) under Bacillus anthracis str. A0488. RNAcentral's name for it is "bacterial LSU rRNA". It matches the Rfam family "Bacterial large subunit ribosomal RNA", at positions 2009 to 2925 of the family's 2925-position model. The record is from RNAcentral. Lineage: Bacteria; Bacillati; Bacillota; Bacilli; Caryophanales; Bacillaceae.